RNAcentral lists this transfer RNA (61 nucleotides) under Orcula dolium. Its description in RNAcentral is "tRNA-Cys". Lineage: Eukaryota; Metazoa; Mollusca; Gastropoda; Stylommatophora; Orculidae. The record is from RNAcentral.
GUAAAGGUAGUUUAAAUAAAACAAAUGAUUUGCAAAAUUAUUUAUGGAUUUCCUCUUUAUU